AAAAGGGUAUUUGGAGAAUGCCUUGGCAUCAGAAGGCGAUGAAGGAAGUGGAAGACUGCUGUAAGCUCCGGGGAGUUGUCAAUCAAGCAUUGAUCCGGAGAUUUCCGAAUGGGAAAACCUGUUUAGGUUAAAUUCUAAACAUUUUUACUUGAAUCUAUAAAGUAAAAAAGCCAACGGCGUGAACUGAAACAUCUAAGUAGCGCUAGGAAAAGAAAACGAAUGUGAUUCCCUAAGUAGUGGUGAGCGAACUGGGAACAGCUGAAAACUUAUUUUGUGUAAGCUUGCAUGCGUUGCAAAGUAAGGGAAGUGGGAUUUAAUGUCUAAUUAAUGCAAUGAUUAGGUUGUUUUGAUCAAAUUAGUUGAAUGCUCUGGAACGGGCAACCAUAGAAAGUUGUAGUCUUGUAAACGAAAAUUUGAUUUGAAAUGAUAUUUAUUCUCCCAAGUACCAUGGAGCACGUGAAAUUCCGUGGGAAUCUGCCCCGACCAUGGGGUAAAGCUAAAUACUCUCUGAUGACCGAUAGUGAACUAGUACCGUGAGGGAAAGGUGAAAAGAACCCCGGGAGGGGAGUGAAAUAGAAACUGAAACCAAAUAUCUAUAAGCGGUGGAAGCGAUAUAUAAGUAUGCGCGACCACGUACCUUUUGCAUAAUGGGCCAACGAGUUACUCCUACAUUGCGAGGUUAAGUUUUGAAAGAACGGAGCCGUAGCGAAAGCAAGUCUUAAUAGGGCGAUUAGUAGUGUGGGGUAGACCCGAAACCUAGUGAGCUAUCCAUGGACAGGUUGAAAUCUUGGUAACACAAGAUGGAGGACCGAACCGGUGUGGGUUGAAAACUGCUCGGAUGAUCUGUGGAUAGGAGUGAAAGGCUAAUCAAACUAGGAAAUAGCUGGUUCUUCUCGAAAUAUAUUUAGGUAUAGCCUUGUUGGAUUUGUUGUGGCGGUAAAGCGACAGUUUUGGCUAGGGGGCGUAAGCCUACCAAACUUUUACUAACUCUGAAUGCCAUGAUUUUAGAAGACAGGAGUCAGACCCCGGGGGAUAAGCUCAGGGGUCAAAAGGGAAACAGCCCAGACCAUCAGCUAAGGUCCCAAAGUGUUCGCUAAGUGGCAAAAGAUGUGAAAAUACUUAGACAGCCAGGAUGUUGGCUUAGAAGCAGCCAUCAUUUAAAGAAAGCGUAAUAGCUCACUGGUCAAGUAUUUUUGCGCUAAAGUAUAAGCGGGGCUCAAGCGAACCACCGAAGCUAUGGAUCACAUUGAUAAAAUGUGGUGGUAGAGAAGCGUUCUUUAAUAGAUACGAGCUUGAUUGUAAAAACAGGUGACGUUGAUUAAAGAAGUGAGUAUGUUGGCAUAAGUAACGAAAAAACAGGUGAAAUUCCUGUUCGCCGAAAACCCAAGGUUUCCGUGAGAAAGGUUUAUCCACUCAGGGUUAGUCGAUCCCUAAGCCGAGGCCAAUUGGAGUAGGUGAUGGAAAACAGGUUAAAUAUUCCUGUACCACUUUUUAGUGUUUGAGCAACGGGAUGACGCAGUAAGAUAGAUUGACUUGGCUUUUGGAUUGCCAAGCUAAGCAUUUAGAAGGAUUUUGUAGGUAAAUCCGCAAAAUCGUUAUCUUUGAGGUGUGAUGGGCAUAUCAAUCUAAUCGAAAGAUAUGUUCGAUUGAUUCUACACUGACUAGAAAAAUCUCUAGCGAAUUAAAAAGUGAUCGUACCGUAAACCGACACAGGUGGGUGAGCAGAGAAUGCUAAGGCGUUGAGAUAACUGUCAUUAAGGAACUCGGCAAAAUAACCCCGUAACUUCGGGAAAAGGGGUACCAAUCUGGUUAGUUUGUUUUACAAGCGAAGCUGGUAUUGGUUUCAACAAAGAGGCCCAGGCGACUGUUUAACAAAAACACAGGGCCAUGCAAACUCGUAAGAGGAAGUAUAUGGUCUGACGCCUGCCCAGUGCUGGAAGGUUAACAGGAGGAGUCAGUCAUUCGUGGCGAAGCUCUGAAUCGAAGCCCCAGUAAACGGCGGCCGUAACUAUAACGGUCCUAAGGUAGCGAAGUCCCUUGUCGGGUAAAUUCCGACCCGCAUGAAUGGCGUAACGAUUUGGGCGCUGUCUUAAUGAUAGACUCAGUGAAAUUGUAGUAUCGGUGAAAAUGCCGGUUACCCGCGAUAGGACGGAAAGACCCUGUGCACCUUUACUGCAACUUGACAUUGAUUUUUGGUUUAGUCUGUGUAGCAUAGGCGGGAGACUUUGAUGCUAUGGCGCUAGCUGUAGCGGAGUCAUCAUUGAAAUACCGCCCUGAAUGAUUCGAAAAUCUAACUUCUAUCCGUGAUCCGGAAGAAGGACAUUGUCUGGUGGGCAGUUUGACUGGGGUGGUCGCCUCCCAAAAUGUAACGGAGGCGUUCAAAGGUUCCCUCAUGGCGAAUAGAAAUCGUCAUAUAGAGUGUAAAAGCAGAAGGGAGCUUGACUGCGAGACAUACAGGUCGAGCAGGUGCGAAAGCAGGAUUUAGUGAUCUGGUGGUACCAUAUGGAAGGGCCAUCAGGUUUGGCACCUCGAUGUCGGCUCAUCGCAUCCUGGGGCUGGAGAAGGUCCCAAGGGUUUGGCUGUUCGCCAAUUAAAGCGGUACGCGAGCUGGGUUCAGAACGUCGCAAGACAGUUCGGUCCUUAUCCAUCGUGGGCGUAGGGUAUUUGCGAGGAUUUGUCUCUAGUACGAGAGGACCGAGAUGAACAAACCUCUGGUGUUCCAAUUGUUUACCAAAAGCAACGUUGGGUAGCCAAGUUUGGAUGGGAUAACCGCUGAAAGCAUCUAAGUGGGAAACCCACCUCAAGAUUAGAUACCCCGUUAAUUAGAUUUAUUUGAGCUUCGGUUUGAGUAAUGAAAAUUAACAUGUAAGAUCCCUUGAAGACUACAAGGUUGAUAGGCUGGGUGUGUAAGUACAGUAAUGUAUUGAGCUAACCAGUACUAAUAGAUCGAGGGUUUUGU
This 2959-nucleotide ribosomal RNA is filed under the name candidate division TM6 bacterium GW2011_GWE2_31_21. Its description in RNAcentral is "23S ribosomal RNA". It matches the Rfam family "Bacterial large subunit ribosomal RNA". The record is from RNAcentral.